Molecule: ribosomal RNA, 692 nt
Filed under: Streptomyces sp. DBT5
Lineage: Bacteria; Bacillati; Actinomycetota; Actinomycetes; Kitasatosporales; Streptomycetaceae
Description: bacterial SSU rRNA
Rfam family: Bacterial small subunit ribosomal RNA
Source: RNAcentral
GUCGAACGAUGAACCACUUCGGUGGGGAUUAGUGGCGAACGGGUGAGUAACACGUGGGCAAUCUGCCCUGCACUCUGGGACAAGCCCUGGAAACGGGGUCUAAUACCGGAUAUUGACCUUCACGGGCAUCUGUGAGGUUCGAAAGCUCCGGCGGUGCAGGAUGAGCCCGCGGCCUAUCAGCUUGUUGGUGAGGUAAUGGCUCACCAAGGCGACGACGGGUAGCCGGCCUGAGAGGGCGACCGGCCACACUGGGACUGAGACACGGCCCAGACUCCUACGGGAGGCAGCAGUGGGGAAUAUUGCACAAUGGGCGAAAGCCUGAUGCAGCGACGCCGCGUGAGGGAUGACGGCCUUCGGGUUGUAAACCUCUUUCAGCAGGGAAGAAGCGAAAGUGACGGUACCUGCAGAAGAAGCGCCGGCUAACUACGUGCCAGCAGCCGCGGUAAUACGUAGGGCGCAAGCGUUGUCCGGAAUUAUUGGGCGUAAAGAGCUCGUAGGCGGCUUGUCACGUCGGUUGUGAAAGCCCGGGGCUUAACCCCGGGUCUGCAGUCGAUACGGGCAGGCUAGAGUUCGGUAGGGGAGAUCGGAAUUCCUGGUGUAGCGGUGAAAUGCGCAGAUAUCAGGAGGAACACCGGUGGCGAAGGCGGAUCUCUGGGCCGAUACUGACGCUGAGGAGCGAAAGCGUGGGGAGC